Molecule: long non-coding RNA, 247 nt
Organism: Myripristis murdjan (pinecone soldierfish)
Lineage: Eukaryota; Metazoa; Chordata; Actinopteri; Holocentriformes; Holocentridae
Exons: 3
Source: RefSeq, a predicted model, not a curated record
AGUCUGGGUAAAUUGGGGCAAAACCUAGUUAAUUGAAGCCACAUAGACUUUGUUUGUCCUCAAAAGAGUGAAUUACUACUCCUGAGGGUUAUGAUAAAGAAAGCCCAGGCCUCUCCUUUCAUUGUGGAUGCAUUAAAAUCUGAUUUUACUCACCAGAUGAAAUUCUUACUGCGCCAUCAGUCUGAGCAGCUGAAAGUGAAAGAACAAAAGAUUCAACUCACACGAGGUGAAAAAAAAGAGGAAGCUG